GGGCAUGUAGCUCAGAUGGUUAGAGCGCGACACUGAUAAUGUCGAGGUCAUAGGUUCGACUCCUAUCAUGCCCA
This 74-nucleotide transfer RNA is filed under the name bacterium. RNAcentral describes it as "tRNA-Ile". It matches the Rfam family "tRNA". From Rfam's summary of the family: Transfer RNA (tRNA) molecules are approximately 80 nucleotides in length. Their secondary structure includes four short double-helical elements and three loops (D, anti-codon, and T loops). The record is from RNAcentral.